UAGGUGAGUGAGAGGCAGACCAGGGGAACUGAAACAUCUAAGUACCCUGAGGAAGAGAAAACAAUAGUGAUUCCGUCAGUAGCGGCGAGCGAACGCGGAUUAGCCCAAACCAAGGAGCUUGCUCCUUGGGGUUGUGGGACGUCUCACAUGGAGUUACAAAGGAACCGGUUAGAUGAAGAGGUCUGGAAAGGCCCGCCAGAGAAGGUAAAAGCCCUGUAGUUCAAAACNUGUUCCCUCCGAGACGGAUCCCGAGUAGUGCGGGGCACGUGAAACCCCGUAUGAAUCCGGCAGGACCAUCUGCCAAGGCUAAAUACUCCCUGGCGACCGAUAGUGAAGCA
Molecule: ribosomal RNA, 338 nt
Filed under: Eleusine coracana (finger millet)
Lineage: Eukaryota; Viridiplantae; Streptophyta; Magnoliopsida; Poales; Poaceae
Description: bacterial LSU rRNA
Rfam family: Bacterial large subunit ribosomal RNA
Source: RNAcentral